AUUGAACGCUGGCGGCAUGCUUUACACAUGCAAGUCGAACGGUAACAGGCCUUCGGGUGCUGACGAGUGGCGCACGGGUGAGUAAUGCAUCGGAACGUACCCAGAGGUGGGGGAUAACGCAGCGAAAGCUGUGCUAAUACCGCAUGUGAUCUGAGGAUGAAAGCGGGGGACCGAGCAGCAAUGUUUGGCCUCGCGCCUUUGGAGCGGCCGAUGUCGGAUUAGCUAGUUGGAGGGGUAAAGGCCUACCAAGGCGACGAUCCGUAGCUGGUCUGAGAGGACGACCAGCCACACUGGGACUGAGACACGGCCCAGACUCCUACGGGAGGCAGCAGUGGGGAAUUUUGGACAAAGGGCGCAAGCCUGAUCCAGCAAUGCCGCGUGCGGGAAGAAGGCCUUCGGGUUGUAAACCGCUUUUGGCAGGAACGAAACGGUGUCCGCUAAUACCGGGCGCUAAUGACGGUACCUGCAGAAUAAGCACCGGCUAACUACGUG
Molecule: ribosomal RNA, 492 nt
Filed under: uncultured bacterium
Lineage: Bacteria
Description: partial 16S ribosomal RNA
Rfam family: Bacterial small subunit ribosomal RNA
Source: RNAcentral